GACGAACGCUGGCGGCGUGCUUAACACAUGCAAGUCGAACGAUGAAGCUGGAGCUUGCUCCGGUGGAUUAGUGGCGAACGGGUGAGUAACACGUGAGUAAUCUGCCCUCGACUCUGGGAUAACUGCGGGAAACUGUAGCUAAUACCGGAUACGACACCUUCGGGCAUCCGAUGGGUGUGGAAAGAAUUUCGGUCAAGGAUGAACUCGCGGCCUAUCAGCUAGUUGGUGAGGUAAUGGCUCACCAAGGCGACGACGGGUAGCCGGCCGGAGGGGGUGACCGGCCACACUGGGACUGAGACACGGCCCAGACUCCUACGGGAGGCAGCAGUGGGGAAUAUUGCACAAUGGGCGAAAGCCUGAUGCAGCAACGCCGCGUGAGGGAUGAAGGCCUUCGGGUUGUAAACCUCUUUUAGUUGGGAAGAAGCGAAAGUGACGGUACCAACAGAAAAAGCACCGGCUAACUACGUGCCAGCAGCCGCAGUAA
This 484-nucleotide ribosomal RNA is filed under the name uncultured bacterium. RNAcentral's name for it is "partial 16S ribosomal RNA". It matches the Rfam family "Bacterial small subunit ribosomal RNA", at positions 28 to 523 of the family's 1533-position model. The record is from RNAcentral.